RNAcentral lists this long non-coding RNA (5344 nucleotides) under Sus scrofa (pig). Its description in RNAcentral is "lncRNA (ENSSSCG00000052140.1)". Lineage: Eukaryota; Metazoa; Chordata; Mammalia; Artiodactyla; Suidae. The record is from RNAcentral.
UGUGUCAAGUUUUUUACAACAGAACGAAAUAAAUACAUUACAUUUUCCUUGAACAUUUUUUUAAUGAAUGAAAGAUUCUUAUAACUUAUUCUAUAGUUAUUUACAAUUUUCAAAUGUCACACAUAAUUUCAUAUGAUCCUUAGUAAACUUUUUUCUACUCUACCCUUAUAUUCCUUUCCUUUCCCUACUGGCAACCACUAUGAAAUAUAGUUUCAAUUUUAUUAUUUUACAUAAAUACACAACCAGUUAAUAAUAGAAAAUAAAAAUUAAAGAUUUGUGUUUUAUGGAGAAAAAUUAUUGGAUGGUAUUAAUUUGGUUUAAUUACAAGUUUUUCUGCCAUACUUGAAGACUGUAUGGCUUGACGUGGAGAAAGCCAUACCUUCUGGCCAGAAAAGAUUUGUAUUACAUCAUUUCUGUGUGGCAAGAAAGGGCAACACAUGGAAAAUUUAUUUCAAGUUUAAAUUUUACUCAGCAGUUUUUGUAUAAAAUCCAGUAGAAAAGAGAUGCUUACUGAGGGUUUAUGAAUAAAAAAAUAUUAUCUGCAACCUUAUACCAAUAUGUGAAAAAAGAUUGAAAAGAGAAAAGAAUGGAGUCAGGACCAUACUCAUAUCAAUUUUCACACUGCCACAGGAGAGAGACCUAGACAGUAGAAUAAUGAAUCAAAAAAGGCAGAUCUAGAUAUUUUUUAUGAUAAAUAAUUCAAUAUAUUUUUAAGUUAUCUGAUAUAUUUCUUUUUAGAUAACUAAAGCAUUAUAUACUUAUAUAAUUUAAUGAAUACAUUUAAUAUAAUUUAUGUACUUAGAAUAAAACUUAGUAAUAGCUUAGUUUUACUUCAGAAAAGUAAUAUUCAGUCACCAAAUAGUGUGUGUAUUUACAUAUAUAUUUGGUACUCAAGGAAGCAGCCCUGUGAGACUGGGAAUGAUACAGAAAAUUCAAAGUGAAUGAAAUGGUAAAAACCCAAUAGAUAACAAAUGUAUGAUGCUUCAGUGGCUAUCAGUUCAAUUCUAGUGCAUAUCAAACCUCUUAAAUGUUUAUUGCAGGUUUAUUUGUAAAUCUCCCCCCCAAAAAAAUAGGUCCUUCAAUGAUGAAUAGAUAAACAAAAUAUAGUAUAUACCUUCAAUGAAAUGAGGUAUUAAGCUAUACAAAACCAUGGGAUAAAUCUGAAAUAUACACUGUUAAAAGAAAGAAGACUACAUGCAAAAUUUAUUUAUUGUAUGAUUCCAUAUAUAUGACAUUGCAGAAAAGGAAAAACUAAAGAAAGUAAAAUUAUCAGUGACUGCCAAAGUCUGGGAAUAUUUUAAAGCGGUAAAACUAUUCUUACUGAUACUACAAUGGUGGAUGUGAGACACUGUGCAUUGGUUAAAAACCAUAGACCUUUAUACUACAAUAUAAAAAUCUCAAAGUAUACAAACAAAACAAGAUCUUUCAGGAGUUGAGUGAUUCAGGAUGAAAGGCAGACUUUGAAAACAGAAUCAAAAUGUCACAAAUGUAUGAAAUGUUUUCACUUACAAGGGUGAAGAAAAAUAUUGUUGACUGAAGUAAUUUUGGAAAUAAGUAAAUAUGUAAGACUAAAGGUAGAAUAAACUACAAGUGCUGCCCCUUAGUUGAUAAAAUAGCUUCUGAUGGAGUUAUGUGUUAUCAAUCUGAGACAAAUAUACAAGUAUACUAAAUCUACCAAUAAAUCAAAUGCACAGUAAAUAGUGGGAUUCAAGUCACUGAUGGGUGGGUGUUUACAGAUAAACAAGAAUAUGAAUAUAAUGAUUCAUGUAGAAAUGAAUCAGAAUUAGGGGACACCAGUAUAAACUCUUACUUAAUGACACUAUGGAUGGUUAUAGAAAGACAGGAAAUAUUUAAAGAUAUGUUUUUAGUAUACCCACAUAUUUCAUUGUUCUACAAGCUGAGAGAGUCCAGAAGUAACAACUCGGUAGCUCUGGGCACACACAAUACCCAGAUCUUGGUUUCUAAUGCCUUUCUUCAAUGAAAUUUUCCAGAACUCCUUGUAGUAAUGGCUUAUUCUAGUGAUGGGACAGGAAUAUUUAAAAUGAACCUGGAAAAUCUUGUAUCAAAAGAUAACAAAGUGUAUAGCUUUGGUAUGAAAUAAUAAAAAUUACAGUUAACCUCUUUAAUCCUCUUCUCAAAACAAUAUAACAUCAAUAUAAUCAUGAUGAAAGCUUUACACACCAUCUAGUAAAGGAACAUUCUACACAAUAUCUAAUCAAUAACCCUCAAAACUACCAGGGUCAUCAAAAAAAAGGAAGUCUGAGAAAUUGUCAAAGACAAGAAGAGAUUAAGAAAAUAUUAUAAUAAAUUGUAAUACAGCAUCUUAGUUGAUAUCAUAGAGCUGAAACAGUGCAUAACGUAAAAACUAAGUAAAUCUGAAUAUAGUAUAGUCUUUAAUUUUUUGAAAUUGAAGUUAUAAAAAGUGUCUUCAUGGCAUUAAAAUAUAUUCUUAGUUAAAAAUGAAGGUUUUGGUAUUUUGUGAUUCAUGUUGUUUUCAUUCAUUUUCUCUCUUUUUUUGAGAUAUAAUUGACAUAUAGCAUUGUGUAAGCUUAAGGUAUGCAACCUGAUGUGUAACACACAACAUAUAUAUAUAUCUAUAUAUGUAUAUAUAUAUAUAUAGUGAAAUUAUUAUACAAAAAACAUUAGCUAACACCUUCAUCAAGUCACAUAAUUGCUAUUUUUAAAGGUAAAUGUGAUGAAUACAUAACAUCUACUCUUUUAGCAAACUUUCAACAUAUAAAAUACAGUAUCAUUGAAGAGUGAAAUCAAGAUGGCAGAGGAGUAAGACAUGGAGCUCACUUCUCCCACAAACACAUAAAAAAAACCCAAAAAUAAAAACCAAAAACUGCAUAUAAGAACAAUUCACACAGAACAUCUACUGAACUCUGGCAGAAGACCUUAAGCCUCCAAAAAUGGCAAGAAAUUCUCCACAUACCAGGUAGAACAAAAGGAAAGAAUAAAGAGGGAGACAGAAGAGAAAAAUAGGAAUCAGGAUGGGACCAACGCUCCUGAGAAGGAGCAGUGAACGAGGAAAUUAAUCCAUACCCUGGGAGGCCACUAACUGAUGGGGAAAUAAGUCAAGAUGGUGAAGGAACCUCACAGCCUCAGACAAAAGUGCAGCAGCCACACUGAGGAGGGCAAAGCAGAGAAAAAUCUGCAAAAAUCAUUGGCCACAGCCCCUGGACACCACGGCCUGAGAUGCUUGGGAAGGGGCUUGGUGCUGAGACUCAGACUCCAGAGCCCAAUUCCAGUUGCGUGGAGAGGACCUGGGUUGGCUAUGUGGAGACAACCUGAGGGACUGGGAAGCAGAGUGCCACAGCUGAGAGAGUAUGGGAGGAGGUCUGGUCCCACAGGAGAAGCAAGGCAAAAUUGUUGUGGGGGAGAUAGGAAGAGAGGCAUGACUGCCAUAAGAAUGUCUUUCUCUGUGCAAAUGUAGGCUCUCAGAUAUGGGCUCUCAGGCCAGGAACCAGGAGCAGCCUGUGCCACCUGCAUGUGGAUCCUUACCACAUUCAAAGGCCCAGCAACCAGGCACCAGCUACUAGCCUUGACAAUUGCCUCCAUCUCCCUAGAAGCAUGUGCAGGCUAUACACCAGCAUAUCCACUAUCAAGGGGAUAACAGCUUGCACACACUGAGGAAAGAGAUGCCAAGCAUCCAAACCAAAAGCAACUUUCAUGCCCCUCCCCAAGAAAAGUAAGCCCUCCCAAACCUCCCAGGGGUGCUCUUGGUAUAAAUAGCCCUCUGAGUCUACAAUAGUUGUUUUCCCUAAACUCAUAGAAUAAGAAAAAUAUAAGCAAAUAAAGACGAUCAGGAACCAUUCCCAGUUAAAAGAACAGGAGACUUCACCUGAAAAAGAAAACCAUGAAACAAACCUCUGCAGUCUAAAAGACACUGAGUUCAAAAAGGGGAUAGUGAAAAUUGUGAAGGAAUUAAGAGGGAAUCUGAAGGAAUUAAGUGUGGAUAUGAAUAGUUAUGCAGGUAAAUUUAAAAAGGAACUAGAAAAUAUAAUGAUGAGCCAAGAAAAAUUAGAAAAUUCAUUUGCAGAAAUUUAAGCUGAGUUAAAGGCACUGAGGAGCAGAAAGAAUAAUGCAGAGGAACAAACACACAACUUGGAAGAUAGAAUAAUGCAAAUCACUGAAUCAGACAAAAGACAGGAAACUAAAAAGAGAGAAUUAAAAGACGGAAAACAAAGAAAGCAAUAUAAGAUCCCUGGGGUAAUAUAAAGUGGGCCAAUCUAUGCAUAAUAGGAACUUCAGAAGGAGAACAAAAAGAAAAGGGGAUUGAAAGUAUAUUUGAAGAAUUAUGGCUGAAAACUUUCCAAAUCUAAAGGGAACAGAUAUCAAGACACAGGAAGUACAGAGGGCCCCAAACAAGUUAAACCCAAACAGUCCCACACCAAGACAUACUACAAUAAAAAUGCAAACGUUAAAGAAAAUGAGAGGAUUCUAAAGGAAGCAAGAAGAAAACAAAGAGUUAAUUAUAAGGGAAACCCCAUAAGACUAUCACCUGAUAUCUCUACAAGAACAUCAAAGGCCAGAUAUAUUCAAACUUCUAAGAGGGAAAAUAUGCAGCCUGGAAUACUCUACCCAGCAAAAAUAUCAUUUAAAAUAGAAGGAUAAAUAAAAGUUUAUUCAACAACAAAAAAUAAAAGAAUAUAGCAUUACUAAACCCAUUCUGAAAGAAAUACUGAAAGGUAUCCUCUAAAUAGGAAAGAAGCGAGAAGACAUAGGAUGAAGAAAUAACAAUAGGAAAGUGAUCACUUAAUACGCCAGUAUACAGAUCUAAAAGGAAAAGAAAAUGUAAAGGUGAUGAUAAACGCAAGUAACAGCAAAAGGAUAAACAUGAAGAUGAAUAAAAGAACAUCAAAAUCAUAAAAGCUGGGGAAGAAAGAAAAUCUAGAAUAUUUUUUAUUUUUAUUUUUUUAUUUUUUGUCUUUUUGCCAUUUCUUGGGCCGCUAUCACGGCAUAUGGAGGUUCCCAGGCUAGGGGUCCAAUCGGAGCCGUAGCCACCGGCCUACGCCAGAGCCACAGCAAUGCAGGAUCCGAGCCGCAUCUGCAACCUACACCACAGCCCAUGGCAACGCGGGAUCAUUAACCCACUGAGCAAGGGCAGGGACUGAAUCCGCAACCUCAUGGCUCCUAGUCGGAUUUGUUAACCACUGCGCCACAACGGGAACUCCUAGAAUGUUUUGUAAAGGUAUUUUGGCCUAUAUGACUAUCAGGCUAAAACAAGCAUAUAUAGGAAGGGGUUAACAUACUUGAAAAACAGGGAAACCACAAAUCAAAACUAAAUAAUACAUUCAUGAAAACUAAAAAGAAGACAUGAACAAAAAAUAAAAAGUCAUCU